GACGAACGCUGGCGGCGUGCUUAACACAUGCAAGUCGAACGGGCCUGUCUUCUUUUUUGGGGGGUGGGUUGAGUGGCGAACGGGUGAGUAUCACGUGAGUAACCUGCCCUUCGGUCCUGGAUAACCGCUUGAAAGGGCGGCUAAUACGGGGUGGUCCGGUUGGUCCGCAUGGGCUGGUCGGGAUAGAUUCACUGUUUUUGGUGUUUCGGCGGGGGAUGGGCUCGCGGCCUAUCAGCUUGUUGGUGGGGUGAUGGCCUACCAAGGCGGUGACGGGUAGCCGGCCUGAGAGGGUGGGCGGCCACGCUGGGACUGAGAUACGGCCCAGACUCCUGCGGGAGGCAGCAGUGGGGGGUAUUGCACAAUGGGCGGAAGCCUGAUGCAGCGACGUCGCGUGAGGGAUGGAGGCCUUCGGGUUGUGAACCUCUGUUUCCGGUGGUGAAGGCCCUGUCCGUGUGGUGGGGUUGACGGUAGCCGGGGAUGAAGCGCCGGCUAACUACGUG
RNAcentral lists this ribosomal RNA (500 nucleotides) under uncultured bacterium. RNAcentral describes it as "partial 16S ribosomal RNA". It matches the Rfam family "Bacterial small subunit ribosomal RNA", at positions 28 to 507 of the family's 1533-position model. The record is from RNAcentral.